Molecule: ribosomal RNA, 517 nt
Filed under: uncultured Staphylococcus sp.
Lineage: Bacteria; Bacillati; Bacillota; Bacilli; Caryophanales; Staphylococcaceae
Description: partial 16S ribosomal RNA
Source: RNAcentral
CACGUAGUUAGCCGUGGCUUUCUGAUUAGGUACCGUCAAGAUGUGCACAGUUACUUACACAUUUGUUCUUCCCUAAUAACAGAGUUUUACGAGCCGAAACCCUUCAUCACUCACGCGGCGUUGCUCCGUCAGGCUUUCGCCCAUUGCGGAAGAUUCCCUACUGCUGCCUCCCGCAGGAGUCUGGACCGUGUCUCAGUUCCAGUGUGGCCGAUCACCCUCUCAGGUCGGCUACGUAUCGUCGCCUUGGUAAGCCGUUACCUUACCAACUAGCUAAUACGGCGCGGGUCCAUCUAUAAGUGAUAGCAAAACCAUCUUUCACUUUAGAACCAUGCGGUUCUAAAUGUUAUCCGGUAUUAGCUCCGGUUUCCCGAAGUUAUCCCAGUCUUAUAGGUAGGUUACCCACGUGUUACUCACCCGUCCGCCGCUAACUUCAAAGGAGCAAGCUCCUUAUCUGUUCGCUCGACUUGCAUGUAUUAGGCACGCCGCCAGCGUUCAUCCUGAGCCAGGAUCAAACUCU